AUUUAAAUAGCUUAUUUUAAGGAGCGUAAUAUUGAAAAUAUUAAGGUGAUAAAUUUAUCUUUAAAUG
This 67-nucleotide transfer RNA is filed under the name Andrena camellia. RNAcentral's name for it is "tRNA-Phe". The record is from RNAcentral. Lineage: Eukaryota; Metazoa; Arthropoda; Insecta; Hymenoptera; Andrenidae.